AGAAUUUUUCACAAUGGGCGAAAGCCUGAUGGAGCGACGCCGCGUGGGGGAUGAAUGGCUUCGGCCCGUAAACCCCUGUCAUUUGCGAACAAACCUUGUCAUUUAAAAGAUGACGAGCUGAUUGUAGCGAAAGCGGAAGGGACGGCUAACUCUGUGCCAGCAGCCGCGGUAAUCCAGAGGUCCCAAGCGUUGUUCGGAUUCACUGGGCGUAAAGGGUGCGUAGGUGGUCGGGUAAGUCUGAUGUGAAAUCUCCGAGCUCAACUCGGAAACUGCAUCGGAUACUAUUCGGCUCGAGGGUUGGAGGGGGGACUGGAAUACUUGGUGUAGCAGUGAAAUGCGUAGAUAUCAAGUGGAACACCAGUGGCGAAGGCGAGUCCCUGGACAACUCCUGACACUGAGGCACGAAAGCUAGGGGAGCAAAC
RNAcentral lists this ribosomal RNA (422 nucleotides) under uncultured bacterium. RNAcentral's name for it is "bacterial SSU rRNA". It matches the Rfam family "Bacterial small subunit ribosomal RNA", at positions 358 to 773 of the family's 1533-position model. The record is from RNAcentral.